RNAcentral lists this ribosomal RNA (1338 nucleotides) under uncultured bacterium. RNAcentral's name for it is "16S ribosomal RNA". It matches the Rfam family "Bacterial small subunit ribosomal RNA", at positions 27 to 1381 of the family's 1533-position model. The record is from RNAcentral.
GGACGAACGCUGGCGGCGUGCUUAACACAUGCAAGUCGAACGGAAAGGCCCUUCGGGGUACUUGAGUGGCGAACGGGUGAGUAACACGUGGGUGAUCUGCCCUGCACUUUGGGAUAAGCCUGGGAAACUGGGUCUAAUACCGAAUAGGACCACGCGCUUCAUGGUGUGUGGUGGAAAGCUUUUGCGGUGUGGGGUGGGCCCGCGGCCUAUCAGCUUGUUGGUGGGGUAAUGGCCUACCAAGGCGACGACGGGUAGCCGGCCUGAGAGGGUGACCGGCCACACUGGGACUGAGAUACGGCCCAGACUCCUACGGGAGGCAGCAGUGGGGAAUAUUGCACAAUGGGCGCAAGCCUGAUGCAGCGACGCCGCGUGAGGGAUGACGGCCUUCGGGUUGUAAACCUCUUUCAAUAGGGACGAAGCGCAAGUGACGGUACCUAUAGAAGAAGCACCGGCCAACUACGUGCCAGCAGCCGCGGUAAUACGUAGGGUGCGAGCGUUGUCCGGAAUUACUGGGCGUAAAGAGCUCGUAGGUGGUUUGUCGCGUUGUUCGUGAAAACUCACAGCUUAACUGUGGGCGUGCGGGCGAUACGGGCAGACUAGAGUACUGCAGGGGAGACUGGAAUUCCUGGUGUAGCGGUGGAAUGCGCAGAUAUCAGGAGGAACACCGGUGGCGAAGGCGGGUCUCUGGGCAGUAACUGACGCUGAGGAGCGAAAGCGUGGGGAGCGAACAGGAUUAGAUACCCUGGUAGUCCACGCCGUAAACGGUGGGUACUAGGUGUGGGUUCCUUCCUUGGGAUCCGUGCCGUAGCUAACGCAUUAAGUACCCCGCCUGGGGAGUACGGCCGCAAGGCUAAAACUCAAAGGAAUUGACGGGGGCCCGCACAAGCGGCGGAGCAUGUGGAUUAAUUCGAUGCAACGCGAAGAACCUUACCUGGGUUUGACAUGCACAGGACGCCGGCAGAGAUGUCGGUUCCCUUGUGGCCUGUGUGCAGGUGGUGCAUGGCUGUCGUCACCUCGUGUCGUGAGAUGUUGGGUUAAGUCCCGCAACGAGCGCAACCCUUGUCCUAUGUUGCCAGCGGGUUAUGCCGGGGACUCGUAGGAGACUGCCGGGGUCAACUCGGAGGAAGGUGGGGAUGACGUCAAGUCAUCAUGCCCCUUAUGUCCAGGGCUUCACACAUGCUACAAUGGCCGGUACAAAGGGCUGCGAUGCCGUGAGGUGGAGCGAAUCCUUUCAAAGCCGGUCUCAGUUCGGAUCGGGGUCUGCAACUCGACCCCGUGAAGUCGGAGUCGCUAGUAAUCGCAGAUCAGCAACGCUGCGGUGAAUACGUUCCCGGGCCU